Molecule: ribosomal RNA, 254 nt
Filed under: uncultured bacterium
Lineage: Bacteria
Description: partial 16S ribosomal RNA
Rfam family: Bacterial small subunit ribosomal RNA
Source: RNAcentral
UACGGAGGGUGCGAGCGUUGUCCGGAAUCACUGGGCGUAAAGGGCGCGUAGGCGGCGCGGGUAGUCAACGGUGAAAGCUUGGGGCUCAACCCCGAGUCGGCCGUCGAUACUCCCGCGCUCGAGCACUGUAGAGGCAGGUGGAAUUCCGGGUGUAGAGGUGAAAUUCGUAGAUAUUCGGAAGAACACCAGUGGCGAAGGCGACUUACUGGACACAUAUUGACGCUGAGGUGCGAAAGCGUGGGGAGCAAACAGGG